CGAAGUAUAAGUCGUACCCAACCAGAUAGAUAAAUACAUAAAUCCCUAAUACAAGCUUACAAGCCAAGUAAUCGAAUUAGGGUUUACACAUUUUCCACCUUCAAGUGGCAACCCAAAAAGGAAAAUACAUUAUCCCAAAUAACACAUUACAGCCCACAGAAUAAGUUAUAGUAUUCAAUUACAGUCCAAAAGAAAAACAUAAGUAAGCAUCCCGUUUUCAGUUACCAGAACCUGUUAAGGAAAACAAUAAACGUGGGGUGAGCUAAAACUCAGUGGUGCCCCAAACAUGCAAUCACUUAAAUCAAACAACGAGUAAUAAUUUAAUCAAAUUGAACAGUUAGGAAAGCGUGUAACAGCACAAGGUAGGAUACAGGGGCUCUCAGGAGCCAUUUUCCACGCUUGAUCAGAUACCAUCGCAGUUGACCCUCCGUCAACUUUCACUACUUAUAGUCCAUGUAGAUCCACUUAUUUUAAUCCUAACCCGUCACCAUUCAUACCCCUGUCCCGGGCCCGCUCACCGACUAAGGACGUAGUAUCCUCGAGAUAUACCCGUCACAGUAGUUGGAUACAGAAGUCGAGGGAUUCACCCAACGACGCAACUACAUUUUAGAUUUAUGGUAGUUGGAUACAAAAGCCGAGAGAUUCACCCAACGACGCAACUACAUUUUAGAUUUAUGGUAGUUGGAUACAGAAGCCGAGGGAUUCACCCAACGACGCAACUACAUUUAGAUUUAUGGUAGUUGGAUACAGAAGCCGAGGGAUUCACCCAACGACGCAACUACAUUUAGAUUUAUGGAUUCAGGAGAAAAUGUUUUUUGCACAAGUCACCACUCGAACGGCUAGUGCGAUAAAGUACACACAGCUCACUUCGAUGGAUCAGAAACCAAUUUUUCAAAUUAUCACAUAUCAAGUCAAGAAGGUACUUUAAGCAGGUAAGCAUAGAACAGGCAGGGACACUCACCCAAAAGUGAAGUUCAGAGUUCAAGCUGGGAUUCAAAAUUCCACGUCCUCGCUAUACCCUAGAAAUCCAGAAUUUAAAACUAUAAGUGUUGUUGUACGGUUCUUGGUUUAUAAAUACAAAGUUAUCUGGUAUAUAACUAGUUUAUCUACUCCAAAUAAAUUAACAAUUUCCCUAGAGUUAAACUAGUGAAAGUGAUGAAAUACUUCAUAGGAUUUCUUUCUUUCUAGAGGUGCAAACCAGAACCAAUUUGCUUUGAAUAAGAUUUCUUGCCAAACAAGUUUUCUGCGCCUUUUAUUUAAAAUUAUUAAAAUCAAGUUUGACCUUUAAAGUACAAAUAUAACACUUUCAAUUUCUAUUCAAGUUCCAGGUUUAUAACUAUAAAGGUUUAUCGAGUAUAUAACUAGUUUAUCGUUUCGAAGUAAAUUCAAAGAUCUACUUAAGUUGAAACUUGGCAAAAGUAGAAGAAAUGUUUUUAUAGUUUUCUUUAAGAUACUUUUCCUUAUAAAAGGUAACUAGUAUUAUUUUCUUGAAAUAAGUCGACACACCUCUUAAUAUCAAUGUUAGAAAGUUACUUUGAACAUUCCUCUAAAGUUACGGAUUUUGCAGAAAUUAUCCUUAAAAACUAUUUUUCCUAAAAUAGGGUUUCUUGCCGAGCAAGUUUCCCAAGCUUUUCACUAAAAUUAGUAAAACUCGUAUUUUGGAACUUUUCCUAUAGUUAACUAUCCAAGUGCAAAGCUUAAGGAAAGAAAAGGAAUUAAAAUAAGACUUAGAGUUUUCAAAAGCUAUAGAACUUAUUUAUUAUAGCUAUCAAGGCUAGUUUGAGCUAAAGGAAAUUAUCGAGUUGGAAAGUUUUAGGCAAAACACUAGAUAUGGAGUUUUAUAAUAUAAUACUAGCUGGAAAAAUAUUUUUUGAUUAAUUUGAUCACAGUUACUCGAGUUCGCAAGGUCGAUACAACUUCCACAGCUCCGAUUCCGUUUCGAAAUCAUAAUAUGGAUCAAAAUAUGGCAAAAAUCACAUAUCAAAUUACUAGGGCUUCGUCAAUCAUUAGCCCUAGAUUUCAACAAGUGCAUUUCUGAAUAAAAUAAAAUGAUCAACCAAGGCUUCAUCAAUCAUUAGCACUUGGUUUCAGCAAGCCCAUCAUAAGCAAAUAAAAAUAAAAGUAAGGCCUCCAAGACAUUCCAGUAAUUAACUUUCAUCAUCCAGUAGUACUUAUAAAGUCAUUCAAAUGGCCAAGGGUUUCAUCAAUCAUUAGCUCUUGACAACCAAUACACACUUUCAAAUACCAAUUCAUUCAAAACAAGAACAAAAACUACAACCAACUUGAGAUCCAAAUGAUUCCAAGAAUCUAAAAUAUCCAUUAAACUUUCCACUUUUAUUUGCUAGAAUCACUAUACAUAUAGAUUAUAAUCUGUCCAAACCAAGCUAAAGCAAAUAAUACACAAAUCCAGCAAAUAAACUCACCAAAAGUCCCAACCAGUUCGGUCAUGCUGGAAAAAUAUUUUCCUUCAAAAAUUGCUUUAGUUCAUGUUCCACAAAUCAAAACAAUUAUGAAAGUUAUACUGUUGUAGAAUAGAUUUUUAAAUACUAUCACAUCCCAGAAGACACUUUUCAGAGAUUCAAAUUACAAAUGGCCAAAUAUUCUAUCCAAGUCAAGAAUUCUGUUUCCUGAGGAAACAGGACAUUCAAACAGGACAGCCUACUUUGAGGAAUCACGGACAACAGUACAAAUGGAGGAAAAAUAUGAAAUUUCUACAAAACAAAGGCCCAUGACUCUAGUUUCAAAUGCCACUGACGGCACCUCAAUCGGAUUUUCCUACACCAAGAUAUAAGCAUUUUACUGAGACUGGUCAGAGAAAUCCGAAAAUCUGGAAACUCAUUUUUCACUUGUGAAAAACUCCUUUUCCUCUUUGAAAACCAUAAGACUCUUAUUCAAACCAUCAUACAUUUAAGUAUGACAUUCAUACCAGCAUAUAUCAAAGCAAAUAACGCUUAAUUCCCAUAAAUUAUUCCACCAAAAAGUCCCCAUAAAUCUGUCAUCAGCUAAGAUAAAAUUUGCCAGCAAUUGAUAGUUUAUUUAUAUCGCUUUUGUUCCUAGUUUUCUUCAAUUCUUACCUCAGCUCAACAUGCAACAGGUGAUUAGCAAGCCUCAAGCAAAUCUUAAACAUCCAAUACGAAAAUCUGAAUUGAAAUUCGAAAACAAAACUAGUUAAAUGCUCACUUCCUUCUCUCGACCAAGCUGGAAUAUUUUGCAGCAGAAAAUUUCCCUCGGUUUCAAUCCACAAUUCAACUUUUCCUCAGAUUUUCUUCCAUUAAGCUUCACUUAAUACUUAAAGCUAACAAUCUAUAUGCAAUUCAUAACAAAAUUUUCCACUUGACAGCAAUUACAAAUGCAAACAAACAUGAAGUCUCUCGGCUAUUCCAGAAAAUUUCCAGCAGCUAAGUUAGACGCAAAUCUGGAUUUUCUUCAGCUGAAACCUUGUAUUAAGUACUCAAAACCAACAUGCAUGACUAAUUAAUGGAAUUACUAUCAGCUCUGGUUUAAAUCAAGUUCGGACAGCAACUACUAUCAUCCACAAUUCCAGAAUUUUCCAACAAGUCUCGGAUGAAACAUGCAUGUAGCAGAUUCGGUUUCUUUUUAUUUUAUUUCUCUUGCUUAGCCGGUCUGAUAAUUUCAUGCAAAGCUUAACCUUCUGAUUUUAAUUAGUCAAGCACCUACCCAAGUGAAAGUCAACCAUUUUCCAGCAAAUUUCCAGAAACAAGCUGCAAUUCCAGCUUCAAACUUUCGACAGCUUUAAUUCUUUUCCAAAUCAGAUUUCUUAAGUCACAAAUCCUCAUCUAACCUCACAAGCACCACAUGCAAGUCCAUAGCUGACCUCACUUGCCUAUAACCAACUAAUUUCAGCUCAGAAGUUACCUCAAAUGGAGCUCACACACACGGUUAGCAGCAGAAAUAAUCCUCCUCCCUUCGGCAGCCCAAAAAUGCAGACCACUAGCUCUCUCUCUCCCUUGCUCUGGGUGGCGGCUGGAAUGGAGAAAGUUCAGCCCUCAGUCCCUUCACCAGCUCACGGUUAGAAGGACGAUGCUCAGCUAGACUCUCUCCUCUCUCUCUAGUUUGCGGACAGAAAGGAGCAAAAGAAAUUAAACAGCUCGGUUCUUGCUCCUGUCGAUGAUACCGAGACAAGGAGUGAUGUGAAUUGAAAUGGUAUUAUGAAGUGUUGGAGUUGCCGAAAUGAGAAGCUAAGCCGUGGAUGAGGAAUUGCAGUGGUUUCGGUGGAGUUGUGCAGAGGAAAUG
This 4254-nucleotide long non-coding RNA is filed under the name Coffea arabica (coffee). RNAcentral describes it as "long non-coding RNA (CARA_LNC004994)". The record is from RNAcentral. Lineage: Eukaryota; Viridiplantae; Streptophyta; Magnoliopsida; Gentianales; Rubiaceae.